UUGAACGCUGGCGGCAGGCUUAACACAUGCAAGUCGAGCGGAGAGAGGUAGCUUGCUACUGAUCUUAGCGGCGGACGGGUGAGUAAUACUUAGGAAUCUGGCUAUUAGUGGGGGACAACAUUUCGAAAGGGAUGCUAAUACCGCAUACGUCCUACGGGAGAAAGCAGGGGAUCUUCGGACCUUGCGCUAAUAGAUGAGCCUAAGUCGGAUUAGCUAGUUGGUGGGGUAAAGGCCUACCAAGGCGACGAUCUGUAGCGGGUCUGAGAGGAUGAUCCGCCACACUGGGACUGAGACACGGCCCAGACUCCUACGGGAGGCAGCAGUGGAGAAUAUUGGACAAUGGGGGGAACCCUGAUCCAGCCAUGCCGCGUGUGUGAAGAAGGCCUUAUGGUUGUAAAGCACUUUAAGCGAGGAGGAGGGUACUGGUAUUAAUACUACCAGGUACUGGAC
Molecule: ribosomal RNA, 450 nt
Filed under: uncultured bacterium
Lineage: Bacteria
Description: bacterial SSU rRNA
Rfam family: Bacterial small subunit ribosomal RNA
Source: RNAcentral